RNAcentral lists this transfer RNA (73 nucleotides) under Streptosporangiales bacterium. RNAcentral's name for it is "tRNA-Lys". It matches the Rfam family "tRNA". From Rfam's summary of the family: Transfer RNA (tRNA) molecules are approximately 80 nucleotides in length. Their secondary structure includes four short double-helical elements and three loops (D, anti-codon, and T loops). Further hydrogen bonds mediate the characteristic L-shaped molecular structure. tRNAs have two regions of fundamental functional importance: the anti-codon, which is responsible for specific mRNA codon recognition, and the 3' end, to which the tRNAs corresponding amino acid is attached (by aminoacyl-tRNA synthetases). tRNAs cope with the degeneracy of the genetic code in two manners: having more than one tRNA (with a specific anti-codon) for a particular amino acid; and 'wobble' base-pairing, i.e. permitting non-standard base-pairing at the 3rd anti-codon position. Lineage: Bacteria; Bacillati; Actinomycetota; Actinomycetes; Streptosporangiales. The record is from RNAcentral.
GGGGCGUUAGCUCAAUUGGCAGAGCAGCGGACUUUUAAUCCGUGGGUUCUGGGUUCGAUCCCCAGGCGCCCUA